AACGAAGCUGUUUUAACUGGUGCUUGCACCGACUUAAACAACUGAGUGGCGAACGGGUGAGUAACACGUGGGUAACCUGCCCCAAAGCGGGGGAUAACAUUUGGAAACAGAUGCUAAUACCGCAUAACCACAGAAACCACAUGGUUUCUGUGUCAAAGAUGGUUUCGGCUAUCACUUUGGGAUGGACCCGCGGCGUAUUAGCUAGUUGGUAAGGUAAUGGCUUACCAAGGCAAUGAUACGUAGCCGAACUGAGAGGUUGAUCGGCCACAUUGGGACUGAGACACGGCCCAAACUCCUACGGGAGGCAGCAGUAGGGAAUCUUCCACAAUGGACGAAAGUCUGAUGGAGCAACGCCGCGUGAGUGAAGAAGGUUUUCGGAUCGUAAAACUCUGUUGUCAGAGAAGAACGUGUGCGAGAGUAACUGCUCGUGCAGUGACGGUAUCUGGCCAGAAAGCCACGGCUAACUACGUGCCAGCAGCCGCGGUAAUACGUAGGUGGCAAGCGUUGUCCGGAUUUAUUGGGCGUAAAGGGAACGCAGGCGGUCUUUUAAGUCUGAUGUGAAAGCCUUCGGCUUAACCGAAGUCGUGCAUUGGAAACUGGGAGACUUGAGUGCAGAAGAGGAGAGUGGAACUCCAUGUGUAGCGGUGAAAUGCGUAGAUAUAUGGAAGAACACCAGUGGCGAAAGCGGCUCUCUGGUCUGUAACUGACGCUGAGGUUCGAAAGCGUGGGUAGCAAACAGGAUUAGAUACCCUGGUAGUCCACGCUGUAAACGAUGAAUGCUAAGUGUUGGAGGGUUUCCGCCCUUCAGUGCCGCAGCAAACGCAUUAAGCAUUCCGCCUGGGGAGUACGACCGCAAGGUUGAAACUCAAAGGAAUUGACGGGGGCCCGCACAAGCGGUGGAGCAUGUGGUUUAAUUCGAAGCAACGCGAAGAACCUUACCAGGUCUUGACAUCU
RNAcentral lists this ribosomal RNA (954 nucleotides) under Lactobacillus sp. 130. RNAcentral describes it as "bacterial SSU rRNA". It matches the Rfam family "Bacterial small subunit ribosomal RNA", at positions 65 to 989 of the family's 1533-position model. Lineage: Bacteria; Bacillati; Bacillota; Bacilli; Lactobacillales; Lactobacillaceae. The record is from RNAcentral.